This 468-nucleotide ribosomal RNA is filed under the name uncultured bacterium. Its description in RNAcentral is "partial 16S ribosomal RNA". It matches the Rfam family "Bacterial small subunit ribosomal RNA", at positions 28 to 507 of the family's 1533-position model. The record is from RNAcentral.
GACGAACGCUGGCGGCGUGCUUAACACAUGCAAGUCGAACGGAAAGGCCAUGCUCUUGUGGGGUGCUCGAGUGGCGAACGGGUGAGAAAAACGCGAGUAACCCGCCCUUGAAAUUGGGAUAACAUCAGGAAAAUGGGGCUAUAAUAGGAUAGGAGCUACUGCUGCAUGGUGGGGGUUGGAAAGUUUCGGCGGUGGGGGAUAGAAUAGCGGGUUACCCGCUAGGUGGUGGAGUAGUUGAUUACCAAGGUUUCGAAGGAUAGCCGGCCUUAGAGCGUGACCGGCCACAAUAGUACUGAGGUAGGGCCCAGACGGCUACGGUAGGCAGCAGUCGAGAAUAUUGCGCAGUAAGCGGGAGCCUGAUAUAACAGCGCCGCGUGCGUAAUGACGGCCUUCGAGUUGUAAACCGCUUUCGCCUUUGACAAAGCGUUAUUGACGGUAAUUGGUAAAGAAGCACCGGCUAACUACGUG